RNAcentral lists this long non-coding RNA (649 nucleotides) under Mytilus galloprovincialis (Mediterranean mussel). The record is from RNAcentral. Lineage: Eukaryota; Metazoa; Mollusca; Bivalvia; Mytilida; Mytilidae.
GGUGUUCAGUUUCCAAAAUUCCAUCUACCGUAAAUUAUUUUACUCUUUUUUUAUAUUCAUAAUUCAUAAUCAAGGUUAAAAAAUAAUUUAGCCAAAACAUCAAACGUCCACUGUAUUUACAGUUAAUCAAAACAUUUGUUGUCUUUGAAAGAUUGCUUCAAAAUUUCUAUUUGAAGAGUGCCGACGACUGCAUGCGGAAUGGCUAUAUUUAAAUUAUAUGACAAGUUAACCAGUGCAAUGACCUAAAAUGAGCAUCCUAUUCAAGUCUACCCCGUGUGCAAGUCUGCAGUAAAUAUUUCAUUCAUAAUUCUCGUAAAGUAUGGACAGCUAAGAAGACCUAUUAAUUAAAAGUAACUCUAGAAUGGCCAAUUUAUGAAAGAGUAUUCUUUAUCAGUAUACAAUCUGAACAGGGAUAAAUUAUGAGAAUUAAAAUGUCAUAAAAGGUGUGUAUUAGGAAGAUUUUAUUUCAUUACAGGUGCAAAACGAUAGGCAACAAAUAAUACCUGGACAAGUAGAUAUAAUCUAAUUAUCAUAUUGUGAUUUCUUAUCUGAUGAUAUAUACAACACAUUGUGCAUUCAGAAGUCAUCAUACAUAUGUCAAAAUGGGAUAUAGAGAAGGUUCCUGCUUGUGCACGGUGUUGCAGUAAGC